RNAcentral lists this ribosomal RNA (493 nucleotides) under uncultured bacterium. RNAcentral describes it as "bacterial SSU rRNA". It matches the Rfam family "Bacterial small subunit ribosomal RNA", at positions 21 to 507 of the family's 1533-position model. The record is from RNAcentral.
GGCUCAGAUUGAACGCUGGCGGCAAGGCCUAACACAUGCAAGUCGAGCGGUAGAGAGGUGCUUGCAUCUCUUGAGAGCGGCGGACGGGUGAGUAAUGCCUAGGAAUCUGCCUGGUGGUGGGGGAUAACGUUCGGAAACGGACGCUAAUACCGCAUACGUCCUACGGGGAGAAAGCGGGGGAUCUUCGGACCUCGCGCCAUUAGAUGAGCCUAGGUCGGAUUAGCUAGUUGGUGAGGUAAUGGCUCACCAAGGCGACGAUCCGUAACUGGUCUGAGAGGAUGAUCAGUCACACUGGAACUGAGACACGGUCCAGACUCCUACGGGAGGCAGCAGUGGGGAAUAUUGGACAAUGGGCGAAAGCCUGAUCCAGCCAUGCCGCGUGUGUGAAGAAGGUCUUCGGAUUGUAAAGCACUUUAAGUUGGGAGGAAGGGUAGUAACCUAAUACGUUGCUACUUUGACGUUACCGACAGAAUAAGCACCGGCUAACUACGUG